This 498-nucleotide ribosomal RNA is filed under the name uncultured bacterium. Its description in RNAcentral is "partial 16S ribosomal RNA". It matches the Rfam family "Bacterial small subunit ribosomal RNA", at positions 28 to 507 of the family's 1533-position model. The record is from RNAcentral.
GACGAACGCUGGCGGCGUGCCUAAUACAUGCAAGUCGAGCGAAGUUUUUCUGGUGCUUGCACUAGAAAAACUUAGCGGCGAACGGGUGAGUAACACGUAAAGAACCUGCCUCAUAGACUGGGACAACUAUUGGAAACGAUAGCUAAUACCGGAUAACAGUAUUUCUCGCAUGAGAGAUAUUUAAAAGUUGGUUAUGCUACACUCUGAGAUGGCUUUGCGGUGCAUUAGCUAGUUGGUGGGGUAAAGGCCCACCAAGGCGACGAUGCAUAGCCGACCUGAGAGGGGGAUCGGCCACACGGGAACUGAGACACGGCCCAGACUCCUACGGGAGGCAGCAGUAGGGAAUCUUCCGCAAUGGGCGAAAGCCUGACGGAGCAACGCCGCGUGAGUGAAGAAGGAGUUCGGUUCGUAAAGCUCUGUUGUUAGGGAAGAAUGGAUAUGUAGUAACUAUACAUGUAAGAGACGGUACCUAACCAGAAAGCCACGGCUAACUACGUG